Long non-coding RNA from Chrysemys picta bellii (western painted turtle), 1883 nucleotides. Lineage: Eukaryota; Metazoa; Chordata; Testudines; Emydidae. The record is from Ensembl.
AUGCCUCAGAUUAAUACAGCUACAGUUCUGCAGAUUUGUGUGCUGCUAUCUGCACUUCCUGCACAGUAUUUCAUAUCCCAGUGGUAUGGAACAGACUCUGAUCAGCGCCUCCAAGUGACACAAAGGAUAAUUGGCUAUUGGAACAGAUUAAUAAAGUCCUACUUGAGUCUGGAUGCAUGGACAGACCAUCUAAAGCUGUGGAUAUCAAAGACAAGGAACUGGUACUAUGGAGAAAAGAGAACUCAAGGUGUUGAAGAUGAAGAAGAAAUCCAUGCUUAUUUUGCAGGUACUGGGGAAACUUUAUUUCUAAAAAAGACUGCAGUCUUCAAUCCUUUUGAAUUUUAUUUUGGACAGUUUCAGAGACUUAUCUAGACUUAUCUCCUAAAUGACAAACAAGCAGAGGCCAUCUCUCACACUUCGCUAAAAGUGUUCAUAUGUGCUUGUUCAGGGAGCACUGGUGUCUAAAACAUCUUUGAUAUUCUCAUAGCUGUUUGAUUUAUGACUGAACUAAAACAGAAAGAGAAAAGGUACCAUUUUAUCAGUCUUCAAACUCAAAUAGCUCUUAUUUUCUUCAAAAACCAUCUCUGAACAGAGACUGAAUGGAAAAAAUUUCAGGCAGAAAGAAGCUUUCUUUGUUUUCAGUUAGAAAGGAGAGUGUCACAAUUAAACACAAAAUAGAUAAAUUCAUAUAGCCUCAACUAUGGAGUCUGAACCAUUUCUCUGUAGUACUGUCAAAUAUUGCAUUAAUUAAGACUGAAGAAAACAAAUACUUGUCAACAUAUUUAUUUUGUCUUGAUGAUUUCCCAAAUCCCAUUAAUUUAAUUCCAGGAUACAACAUAAAACAUAAAUGAAUAUUUAUGAAAUAUUAUUAUAACAUUCUGAACAAAUGCUGUUUGGUUUUAACAGCAAACUAGCUGUUUGUACUAAAGACUGUUAGUCUUCAUACGCCUAGUUUUACUUUAUUAAUUGCCCAAUCUGUUUGUUUGUCACUGGAUGUCCAACAGAGUAAAGUCUAUUAAAUGUUUUCUAUUGUACUUGAUCAAACACUUUUUCCUUGAUAAAUCUGUUCUCUUGUUUUACUAGAAUCAACUCACAUUCACAGUCCAAAGCCAGAAUCUGUUCAGUUUAAUGUGGGACAGGUGAUAAUACACAGAAGAUUUGGCUAUUCAGGAGUCAUUGUUGGCUGGGACGUAAAAGCUAGAGCUCCAGAAGAAUGGCUGCAGCACAAAUAUCCUCCAGAGAAACAGGUCUGAAAGUAUUUAACUCUUGCUUUAUUAAUAUUUAUACAAAAUAAUUCAGAUAACUUGUUCCUAGCCUCCCUUUUUCAUAUACUGUGACUUUCUACCUCCAUGAAAGUGUCUCAAAGCCAGACUCCAGAAAUGAACACUGGUUAGGACAUUUAUGCAAGUCAGGGAAGACUAAAGCCAUUGUAGAUGGUUUUCUGAGAGAGUGGAUUCUGGCUGACUAACUUUUAGUAGUUCCUACUAUCAGAUGUAUAGAAUGUUUAGCAACUUCCUAGGUAGCCAUUGGUCUGGUGCCAGAGUAAUGGCUAAAUAGCAAAAGAAAGGGAAAGAAAAAAGCAGCUGAUGCCAUCAUUGAAUGGUAAGAAAAUCCAUUGUAAAAUCCCUACAGAUUAGAUGGCAAACCCACUGGGCUCCAACAUCAGUAUUUUCCAUAGAAUUAAUCAAAUUUUAAAAGCUGCUUGGAGAGCAUAACGUAACAGACGUAUGCUUCUCCGAUAUCUGACUAUUUUGAAACAUAUUUCUCCCUGAUUUUGUUUGAAUAGUUAGAGGAAGGAAGCCUGCAUAACUUGGCAAACUACCAUGACGUGGACACAUAAUUGGUUAAACAACCUCAAAUAAAUAAUAACUAUUAAUGGAACA